UCGAAGGUAGCAUAAUCAGUAGUCUUUUAAUUGAAGGCUGGUAUGAAUGGUUGGACGAGAUAUUAACUGUUUCAUAAAAAUUUGUAAUAAAAUUUUAUUUUUUAGUGAAAAAGCUAAAAUUUAAUUUAAAGACGAGAAGACCCUAUAAAUCUUUAUAUUUAUUUUGUUAUAAUUUUUUAGAUUUAUUUUAUUGUAAUAAUUGAUAAUAUUUUAUUGGGGUGAUAUUAAAAUUUAUAAAACUUUUAAUUAUUUAAGUCAUUAAUUUAUGUAUAAUUGAUCCAUUAAUAGUGAUUAAAAAUUUAAGUUACUUUAGGGAUAACAGCGUAAUUUUUUUGGAGAGUUCAUAUCAAUAAAAAAGAUUGCGACCUCGAUGUUGGAUUAA
Molecule: ribosomal RNA, 382 nt
Filed under: Phyto nigrobarbata
Lineage: Eukaryota; Metazoa; Arthropoda; Insecta; Diptera; Rhinophoridae
Description: partial 16S ribosomal RNA
Source: RNAcentral